CAAAGGGAGGCCUCUAUUUAUAAGCUCUCGCUUUAAGGAUGAGUCCGCGUACCAUUAGCUAGUUGGUAAGGUAAAAGCCUACCAAGGCGACGAUGGUUAGCUGGUCUGAGAGGAUGAUCAGCCACACUGGAACUGAGAUACGGUCCAGACUCCUACGGGAGGCAGCAGUGAGGAAUCUUGCGCAAUGGGGGAAACCCUGACGCAGCAACGCCGCGUGAGUGAGGAAGGUCUUCGGAUCGUAAAGCUCUGUCGGGUGGAAAGAAAGGCAUGGAAGCUAAUAUCUUUCAUGCUUGACGGUACCACCAGAGGAAGCACCGGCUAACUCCGUGCCAGCAGCCGCGGUAAUACGGGGGGUGCAAGCGUUGUUCGGAAUUAUUGGGCGUAAAGAGCGUGUAGGCGGCUUGAUAAGUCAGAUGUGAAAGCCCUGGGCUUAACCCAGGAAGUGCAUUUGAAACUGUCUCGCUUGAGUAAGGGAGGGGGAAGUGGAAUUCCUGGUGUAGAGGUGAAAUUCGUAGAUAUCAGGAGGAACACCGGUGGCGAAGGCGACUUCCUGGCCCUAUACUGACGCUGAGACGCGAGAGCGUGGGUAGCAAACAGGAUUAGAUACCCUGGUAGUCCACGCCGUAAACGAUGUUCACUAGGUGUUGGGGGUAUUGACCCCCUCAGUGCCGGAGCUAAC
This 679-nucleotide ribosomal RNA is filed under the name uncultured delta proteobacterium. Its description in RNAcentral is "bacterial SSU rRNA". It matches the Rfam family "Bacterial small subunit ribosomal RNA", at positions 202 to 856 of the family's 1533-position model. Lineage: Bacteria; Deltaproteobacteria. The record is from RNAcentral.